Long non-coding RNA from Cervus elaphus (red deer), 1119 nucleotides. RefSeq lists it as uncharacterized. The record is from RefSeq and is a predicted model, not a curated record. Lineage: Eukaryota; Metazoa; Chordata; Mammalia; Artiodactyla; Cervidae. The transcript has 3 exons.
GGACUAUUUCUACAACCAGGAGUCAAUAUGUUCAUAACAGAGCUUCCAUCAAGCUGUCAUGGAGAUUCAAACUCGGGGUGCCCACCCACACCCCCAAGUCCAACCUGGACACCCUAGCACCUCUCCUGAAAACAGCAUCAUUGACCGUGGCCCAGUGACCCCAGAGGGUCAUUGCUGCCAUGGAAGAGGCUUUAAGGACUAUUUCUACAACCAGGAGUCGAUAUGUUCAUAACAGAGCUCCCAUCAAGCUGUCAUAAAAACCAAGAAGAUAAUUCAUUGUUUUACUUGCUAUACCCUUCCAGAGUCUGUGGGUAGCCCUGGGAGUGCAACCUUUUCUGGAGUGAAUGACCCUGGACGGCAUGCUGCCGGUGUCUCCCCCAUGACCACUUUCCCAGACCUCCAUGCGGAAACCCACUGUGCAUUUUAAGCAGGGGGACAGUCAGGUUCAAACAAUGCUUAAUUUUUGGAAAUAAAAGUACACUGUGAUCUUCAUUCAUUUGUUGGGCUCACUUUCAUCCUCUAUCUCCAAGGCAGAAUCACAGCAGGUGUUGACUUAUGGCACCCCUAGAAAUCACCACCUGUGGUCCUUAUUUAAGUUGAACUUUUGAGCUUAAUUGUGAUGACUUUCUAUGACUUUCUAUAGGGUUUGGGGUCCGAAAGAGUGGACAUGACUUAGCAACUAAACAACAACAACAACAUCCCAGAACAAUGUAAAUCCAGGAACUGGAAAGAAACAGUUGACAAAACAAAGAAAACAAGCAAACCCUUCAAAGGAAGAACUCAACCUUUCUCACAUAAGAACACUUAAGUGAGAGUCAAAUAAGUGACACAGAAAGCCUCUUUAGCCGCAGAGCCAGCAGUUGAGUGGAAGUGGGAAGCAGCUAAUGAUGGGUGUCAACAGAGGAAACUGAACUGGAAUUCAGGAGUGCCUGGGACCCGGCGUGUCUCUAGACUGGUGUGGCCGUGAGCAAGUCUGUCACUGUCUCUGGGCUUCAGUCAGGCAUCUCUGCAGCUCACAGAAGCGGACGCGAUGGGAGGUUUUCAGCUUUGCCCCUGUCCACGGCGGUCCCAGGUGACUGCUGCCGCAGGACCGCGAAUCAGGUGACUCAGACCCCACUC